GCAAUCAGCAACCUCAAAUUCAACAGCACACUUGAGACCAAUAGCACGCUCAAGAGCAAAAGAUAUCAUGUUGAUAGACAGGUCAAUGCCAACAACAUGAACAUCAUACUUUUCAGCCAUGUAGAAGUUACCUCCUCCAAUGCCACAGCCAACAUCAAGGACUUUUUGGCCACGCUGAAGAUCCAACAUGGCUACAAAUUCUUUUGUAGUUUCAAGUCCUCCUGUGCUAACAAAACCUUGUCCAAAGACUCGUUCAUAGCGUAGUAUGCCACUACACUUGUACUGAACAGUAUCCAAGAAACGCUGAAAUUCCAUGUCAUCCUUAGAAGUAACCUUCUGCCACGUCCAGCAAAUCUGAUUUUGAUUCUUUUUGUUCUUCACAUAAGCUCCAAUGCACUUGCAACCAGCAAGAGAAAGUUCAAAUGAUUUUCCAUCACCAGCAUUUACGUGACAUUCUCUGAAAACCUUUGUAUAAAAGCUAGGGUCUCGAUAGUGGGUUGGGUUGUUCUUUCGCUUGUGGUCUCCUGAUUGAUGGAAGCAUGACUCUCUGAAAAAUAUGUGACCACCGACUUUCAACCAUAUAACCAUUCUCUCAACAAGAGCCUUAACCUCUUCAUCAGAAAGAUACAUCAGUAGCCAGUUAGAAAAUAUCAAGUCCACCGAUUCCGGUGAAAAAAUCAAAUUCGGGGAAGUCACAUCAGCACACAUGAACUUGACAUUCUUAUAGUGCCCAUUUAUGUUUUCAUUCUUCUUAAUUGCGCCUUCAAUAAAGUCCAAUGCUAUAAGCUGUCCAGCUUUCUGGGCUAAUUCACCAGUGAAUCGGCCAAUACCUGCACCCAG
Molecule: unclassified non-coding RNA, 840 nt
Filed under: Hevea brasiliensis (rubber tree)
Lineage: Eukaryota; Viridiplantae; Streptophyta; Magnoliopsida; Malpighiales; Euphorbiaceae
Source: RNAcentral